CAAUCACUUGUCUUUUAAAUGGAGACCUGUAUGAAUGGCACGACGAGGGCUUAACUGUCUCCUUUCCUAAGUCAAUGAAAUUGAUCUCUCCGUGCAGAAGCGGGGAUAAACCCAUAAGACGAGAAGACCCUAUGGAGCUUCAGACACUAAAACAGCUCAUGUUAAAAACCCUCACAAAAGAGGCUAAACUAGAUGACCCCUGUCCUAAUGUCUUUGGUUGGGGCGACCACGGGGCAACAAAAAACCCCCGCGCGGAACAGAAACACUGUUUCCAGAACCAAGAGCACCCGCUCUAAGUAACAAGACCCACUUGACCUUUGAGAUCCGGCACAAGCCGAUCAACGGACCGAGUUACCCUAGGGAUAACAGCGCAAUCUUCUUCGAGAGUUCA
This 391-nucleotide ribosomal RNA is filed under the name Scarus psittacus (common parrotfish). Its description in RNAcentral is "partial 16S ribosomal RNA". It matches the Rfam family "Bacterial large subunit ribosomal RNA", at positions 1962 to 2502 of the family's 2925-position model. Lineage: Eukaryota; Metazoa; Chordata; Actinopteri; Labriformes; Labridae. The record is from RNAcentral.